AGUGAACGCUGGCGGUAGGCCUAACACAUGCAAGUCGAACGGCAGCACAGUAAGAGCUUGCUCUUACGGGUGGCGAGUGGCGGACGGGUGAGGAAUACAUCGGAAUCUACUUUUUCGUGGGGGAUAACGUAGGGAAACCUACGCUAAUACCGCAUACGACCUACGGGUGAAAGCAGGGGAUCUUCGUACCUUGCGCGAUUGAAUGAGCCGAUGUCGGAUUAGCUAGUUGGCGGGGUAAAGGCCCACCAAGGCGACGAUCCGUAGCUGGUCUGAGAGGAUGAAGAGCCACACUGGAACUGAGACACGGUCCAGACUCCUACGGGAGGCAGCAGUGGGGAAUAUUGGACAAUGGGCGCAAGCCUGAUCCAGCCAUACCGCGUGGGUGAAGAAGGCCUUCGGGUUGUAAAGCCCUUUUGUUGGGAAAGAAAAGCAGCAGGUUAAUACCCCGCUGUUCUGACGGUACCCAAAGAAUAAGCACCGGCUAACUUCGUG
This 492-nucleotide ribosomal RNA is filed under the name uncultured bacterium. RNAcentral describes it as "partial 16S ribosomal RNA". It matches the Rfam family "Bacterial small subunit ribosomal RNA", at positions 29 to 507 of the family's 1533-position model. The record is from RNAcentral.